AUUAUUCGUACUGAAGUGAUGAAUAAACAUUUUGCGAGAUUGCGAGUGAAGGCUGAGGAUGGGGAGAGCAAUUCUAAGGCGGUAAUUGAUUCAAUUGGGGCGUAAUUGGUGGCGUGAAGUGGUGAAGAAGAAGAAGUGGAAACGUUUGAAGUUUGUUUUGCGAAUAUCGUGAAAAUUAUUGCAUUUUGGGAAAUUCGGAAGACGACGGGUGAUAGAGAUGUAAAGAAUCCGACAAUUCGCGCUUCCGUUGUCAUCAGCGAUAAAUAUCGUGUCGAUAAGAACAAGCUCGUGAUAACACGCGGAAUGCCACCGUAGAAUACCGAAGCGGGGCGCUGAAACCCACCACGAUAAAGGCAAGAUUCAUCCACAAAUGGGGGAGUUUCAGCCUUGGCUCAGUUGUCGUUCCGGCCUCGUCACGGUUUCGUCGAUCCUGCGGCAUCACAACGGUCUACCUCGUCAUUAAUUAAAAUCCAGAGGAGCCAUUUACCUCUGGCUGAAAUACAGUGACCCCUUCCCGCAUCUCAAGAUUAAAAUGGGAAUUCUAUUGAAUUUAUUUCACCUCACGGCAUUCACGGCCUACAGUUUCACAUUGUACCAGGCAAUGUUCAAUCUGAACAUACCGAUAUUGGCCCAACGGUUCAAAGACUUCGACCCGGGCCAGUUGAAGUACCUGACGAUCUGGGGAGUGAUAGUGCAGUCUUUGUUCUUCUUCCUCUGCAUCCUGAAUGAUCUCUAUGGGUCGCAUAAAGUUCAGCCGAAGAAAGCCCCGAUCUUGAGACGCAUCAAAGAUUAUUUCCAUGCAGCGUUCAGCUUUCCACUUGCUAUGUUUGUAGGCGUUACGUUCUGGUCACUGAUGUUCGUUGACCGUGAAUUAGUGCUACCAAAAGCCCUCGAUCCGUACUUCCCAUGGUGGUUGAAUCAUCUCAUGCAUACCAUGAUUAUGGUUACAACAGUUAUUGAAAUGCUUGUUGCCCCGAGACAGUACCCAAGGAGAUCGCACGGCCUCGGAGGACUUGGAGUUCUCAUGCUUUCGUAUUUAGUCUGGCUUCACUUCAUCUACUACAAGAGUGGCAUUUGGGUGUACCCAGUGCUGGAGGUCCUCUCAAUCCCCCUGAGGAUCGUUUUUCACAUCACUUUGUUCUUCUUCUGUUGUUUGCUCUACUUCGUCGGAGAGUACUUUGAUCAUCUUCUCUGGGGUAACGAACAAUCUAAACAACUGAAAAGCCAUUCGAAAACCAAGUAGCCACGUCAGUUAUCACCGAAAGGUGACGGCAACGUGGGCUCUCCUCUCAUCGGUGGUGGAAUUGGUGGUGGUGCCAUCAAAAGAACAUCCAGUAAGACUAGUAAGAAGAAGAAAACCAAGUAAACAAGUCAAUUGGCAAUUUCAACUCGCCCGCGAAAUUCACUUGUUGAAGUAUUAAAUCAAUCAAUUUCUUUUUAAAUACUAUAAUUUCAUGAUCGAGUGGAGUCGAUCAGUGAUAGAUUCCAGAGAGUUUUAUAAUUUUUUGUACCCAUUUUUCAUCCUGAAACUAGCGUUAAGCGAUGAUUAGGGAGAUUGUUAAAUCAAACACUAAUGAUAACAGUAGGAUGCAUAUAGAUAAUGUGAAAAGUAAAAUAGAUUAAAGUUUCCUCGGGUAUUAGGAAAGAUUGUUGCCUUAGUUAGAGUAAAAAAAAUGUGUUCACGGUGUAAUAAUGCAGAGAAUGUGAUGAUUUUCUACUUAAUAGGAGUCUUACUGUGCCUAGGUGAAUGCUGCCACCACUAAUGAAUACUAUUUAAUUAGUGAUGAAUUUUUCAGGACAAUUGUCCACUUUGAAAUCAUUUGGUCAAACAAUUUAAGAAACAAUAACGAAAUAAGCGAGAUUAAUGGAAUAGUUUAUUUGAAUCUCCAGUUACAAAUUUAACGAAUUCCAGGUGCAUUCCACAAAUCGACAAAUAUUUAAAAGUCGAAUCGAAAAUUGGUAAAAAAUUAUUCUGACAAACGUCAUGUAUUGCAUUGUCUUAAAAAUAAUAAAAAUUACAAACUACAUGUAAA
This is an RNA transcript of Diachasmimorpha longicaudata, 2033 nucleotides long. It is a transcript of the gene named androgen-induced gene 1 protein-like, with no coding region annotated. The record is from RefSeq and is a predicted model, not a curated record. The transcript has 7 exons. NCBI's taxonomy places the organism in Eukaryota, Metazoa, Arthropoda, Insecta, Hymenoptera, Braconidae.